This 321-nucleotide ribosomal RNA is filed under the name uncultured eukaryote. RNAcentral describes it as "partial 18S ribosomal RNA". It matches the Rfam family "Eukaryotic small subunit ribosomal RNA", at positions 1470 to 1796 of the family's 1831-position model. The record is from RNAcentral.
CCCUUAGAUGUCCGGGGCCGCACGCGCGCUACACUGAAGGAAUCAGCGUGGCUUUCUCCCUGACCCGAAAGGGUUGGGAAACCCGUUGAAUCUCCUUCGUGAUAGGGAUUGGGGCUUGAAAUUGUUCCCCAUGAACGAGGAAUUCCCAGUAAGCGCGAGUCAUAAGCUCGCGUUGAUUACGUCCCUGCCCUUUGUACACACCGCCCGUCGCUCCUACCGAUUUCGAGUGGUCCGGUGAACCUUUCGGACCGGGAGCAGCCUCGUGCUGCGCCUGGAAAGUCAAGUAAACCACAUCACUUAGAGGAAGGAGAAGUCGUAACA